This 868-nucleotide ribosomal RNA is filed under the name uncultured archaeon. Its description in RNAcentral is "bacterial SSU rRNA". It matches the Rfam family "Archaeal small subunit ribosomal RNA", at positions 578 to 1445 of the family's 1478-position model. The record is from RNAcentral.
AAAAUACUGGGCAGCUAGGGAGUGGGAGAGGUACACGGUACUCAAUAGGAAGGGGUAAAAUCCUUUGAUCUAUUGAUGACCACCUGUGGCGAAGGCGGUGUACCAGAACACGUUCGACGGUGAGGGAUGAAAGCUGGGGGAGCAAACCGGAUUAGAUACCCGGGUAGUCCCAGCUGUAAACGAUGCAGACUCGGUGAUGCAUUGGCUUGUGGCCAAUGCAGUGCCGCAGGGAAGCCGUUAAGUCUGCCGCCUGGGAAGUACGUACGCAAGUAUGAAACUUAAAGGAAUUGGCGGGGGAGCACCACAAGAGGUGAAGCCUGCGGUUCAAUUGGAGUCAACGCCAGAAAUCUUACCUGGGGCGACAGCAGAAUGAAGGUCAAGCUGAAGACUUUACCAGACAAGCUGAGAGGUGGUGCAUGGCCGUCGCCAGCUCGUGCCGUGAGAUGUCCUGUUAAGUCAGGUAACGAGCGAGACCCCUGCGUCUAGUUGCUACCAUUACUCUCUGGAGUAGUGGAGCGAAUUAGACGGACCGCCACAGUUAAUGUGGAGGAAGGAAGGGGCCACGGCAGGUCAGUAUGCCCCGAAACCCUAGGGCUACACGCGGGCUGCAAUGGUAUUGACAAUGUGUUCCGAAUCCGAAAGGAGGAGGCAAUCAUCAAACGAUACCUCAGUUAUGACUGAGGGCUGUAACUCGCCCUCACGAAUAUGGAAUCCCUAGUAACUGCGCGUCACUACCGCGCGGUGAAUACGUCCCUGCUCCUUGCACACACCGCCCGUCGUUUCAUCGAAGUUGGCCUUUAGUGAGGUAGUGUCUUGUUGGCAUUAUCGAGCUUGAGGUCAGUGACGAGGGAAAAGUCGUAACAAGGUA